RNAcentral lists this ribosomal RNA (253 nucleotides) under uncultured bacterium. Its description in RNAcentral is "partial 16S ribosomal RNA". It matches the Rfam family "Bacterial small subunit ribosomal RNA", at positions 524 to 776 of the family's 1533-position model. The record is from RNAcentral.
UACGUAGGGUGCAAGCGUUAAUCGGAAUUACUGGGCGUAAAGCGUGCGCAGGCGGUUAUGCAAGACAGAUGUGAAAUCCCCGGGCUCAACCUGGGAACUGCAUUUGUGACUGCAUAGCUGGAGUGCGGCAGAGGGGGAUGGAAUUCCGCGUGUAGCAGUGAAAUGCGUAGAGAUGCGGAGGAACACCGAUGGCGAAGGCAGCCCCCUGGGCUAGCACUGACGCUCAGGCACGAAAGCGUGGGGAGCAAACAGG